CUACGGGGUGCACCAGUCGGGGAACUUUUGCAAUGCGCGCAAGCGUGACAAAGCGGGCCAGAGUGUUUCUCUUAUCAGAGAAACUUUUGUCAGCUGUAAAAAGGCUGACGAAUAAGGACUGGGUAAGACCGGUGCCAGCCGCCGCGGUAAUACCGGCGGUCCGAGUCGCAGCCACAAUUAUUGGGUCUAAAACAUCCGUAGCUUGUUUUGCAAGUCUCUUGUGAAAUCCUAUAUCUCAAGUAUAGGGCGUGCAGGAGAAACUGCAUUACUAGAGACCGGAAGACGUAGCGAGUACGACCGAGGUAGUGGUAAAAUACGUUAAUCUUGGUUGGACUAACAAUGGCGAAGGCACGCUACGAGGACGGAUCUGACAGUCAGGGAUGAAGGCCAGGGGCGCAAAAUGGAUUAGAUACCCCUGUAGUC
RNAcentral lists this ribosomal RNA (423 nucleotides) under uncultured archaeon. RNAcentral's name for it is "partial 16S ribosomal RNA". It matches the Rfam family "Archaeal small subunit ribosomal RNA", at positions 323 to 746 of the family's 1478-position model. The record is from RNAcentral.